RNAcentral lists this transfer RNA (74 nucleotides) under Rhipicephalus sanguineus (brown dog tick). RNAcentral's name for it is "transfer RNA threonine (anticodon UGU)". It matches the Rfam family "tRNA". Rfam says of the family: Transfer RNA (tRNA) molecules are approximately 80 nucleotides in length. Their secondary structure includes four short double-helical elements and three loops (D, anti-codon, and T loops). Further hydrogen bonds mediate the characteristic L-shaped molecular structure. tRNAs have two regions of fundamental functional importance: the anti-codon, which is responsible for specific mRNA codon recognition, and the 3' end, to which the tRNAs corresponding amino acid is attached (by aminoacyl-tRNA synthetases). tRNAs cope with the degeneracy of the genetic code in two manners: having more than one tRNA (with a specific anti-codon) for a particular amino acid; and 'wobble' base-pairing, i.e. permitting non-standard base-pairing at the 3rd anti-codon position. The record is from RNAcentral. Lineage: Eukaryota; Metazoa; Arthropoda; Arachnida; Ixodida; Ixodidae.
UCCCUAGUGGCGCAAUUGGUUAGCGCACGGUACUUGUGAUGCCGGGGUUGUGAGUUCGAGCCUCACCUGGGGAA